GCGAGAUGGCUUUUGGUGACUAUCCCGCUGAGUAUAAUCCCAAGGUGCACGGACCUUACGAUCCAGCACGCUACUAUGGCAAAGGUAUGUGCAAUUUGCA
Molecule: long non-coding RNA, 100 nt
Organism: Drosophila grimshawi
Lineage: Eukaryota; Metazoa; Arthropoda; Insecta; Diptera; Drosophilidae
Rfam family: Sphinx_ conserved region 1
Source: Rfam